RNAcentral lists this ribosomal RNA (758 nucleotides) under Serratia marcescens. Its description in RNAcentral is "bacterial SSU rRNA". It matches the Rfam family "Bacterial small subunit ribosomal RNA", at positions 301 to 1087 of the family's 1533-position model. The record is from RNAcentral. Lineage: Bacteria; Pseudomonadati; Pseudomonadota; Gammaproteobacteria; Enterobacterales; Yersiniaceae.
UGACCAGCCACACUGGAACUGAGACACGGUCCAGACUCCUACGGGAGGCAGCAGUGGGGAAUAUUGCACAAUGGGCGCAAGCCUGAUGCAGCCAUGCCGCGUGUGUGAAGAAGGCCUUCGGGUUGUAAAGCACUUUCAGCGAGGAGGAAGGUGGUGAACUUAAUACGUUCAUCAAUUGACGUUACUCGCAGAACAAGCACCGGCUAACUCCGUGCCAUCAGCCGCGGUAAUACGGAGGGUGCAAGCGUUAAUCGGAAUUACUGGGCGUAAAGCGCACGCAGGCGGUUUGUUAAGUCAUGAUGUGAAAUCCCCGGGCUCAACCUGGGAACUGCAUUUGAAACUGGCAAGCUAGAGUCUCGUAGAGGGGGGUAGAAUUCCAGGUGUACCGGUGAAAUGCGUAGAGAUCUGGAGGAUACCGGUGGCGAAGGCGGCCCCCUGGACUAGACUGACGCUCAUGUGCCAAAGCGUGGGGAGCAACAGGAUUAGAUACCCUGGUAGUCCACGCUGUAACGAUGUCAUUUGGAGUUGUGCCCUUGAGCGUGGCUUCCGGAGCUACGCGUUAAUCGCCGCCUGGGGAGUACGGCCGCAAGUUAAACUCGAUGAAUUGACGGGGCCGCACAGCGUGGAGAUGUGGUUAAUUCGAUGCACGCGAAGAACUUACUACUCUUGAAUCAGAGACUUCCAGAGAUGCUUGGUGCUUCGGAACUUGAGACAGGUGCUGCUGGUGUCCUCACUCUGUCGUGAAUGUUGGUUAGUCC